UACGGGGGGAGCAAGCGUUGUUCGGAUUUACUGGGCGUAAAGGGCGCGUAGGCGGCGUGGUAAGUCAGCUGUGAAAUCUCCGAGCUUAACUCGGAACGGUCAGCUGAUACUGCUGUGCUAGAGUACAGAAAGGGCAAUCGGAAUUCUUGGUGUAGCGGUGAAAUGCGUAGAUAUCAAGAGGAACACCUGAGGCGAAGGCGGGUUGCUAGGCUGAUACUGACGCUGAGGCGCGAAAGCUAGGGUAGCAAACGGG
Molecule: ribosomal RNA, 253 nt
Filed under: uncultured bacterium
Lineage: Bacteria
Description: partial 16S ribosomal RNA
Rfam family: Bacterial small subunit ribosomal RNA
Source: RNAcentral